UACGUAGGGUGCAAGCGUUAAUCGGAAUUACUGGGCGUAAAGCGUGCGCAGGCGGCUUUGCAAGACAGAUGUGAAAUCCCCGGGCUCAACCUGGGAACUGCAUUUGUGACUGCAAAGCUAGAGUACGGCAGAGGGGGAUGGAAUUCCGCGUGUAGCAGUGAAAUGCGUAGAUAUGCGGAGGAACACCGAUGGCGAAGGCAAUCCCCUGGGCCUGUACUGACGCUCAUGCACGAAAGCGUGGGGAGCAAACAGG
RNAcentral lists this ribosomal RNA (253 nucleotides) under uncultured bacterium. RNAcentral's name for it is "partial 16S ribosomal RNA". It matches the Rfam family "Bacterial small subunit ribosomal RNA", at positions 524 to 776 of the family's 1533-position model. The record is from RNAcentral.